This 817-nucleotide long non-coding RNA is filed under the name Equus caballus (horse). RNAcentral describes it as "lncRNA (ENSECAG00000041402.2)". Lineage: Eukaryota; Metazoa; Chordata; Mammalia; Perissodactyla; Equidae. The record is from RNAcentral.
UUUUUUUCCUUCUUCUUCUUCUCCCCAAAGCCCCCCAGUACAUAGUUGUACAUUCUAGUUGUGAGUGCCUCUGGUUGUGGCAUGUGGGAUGCCACCUCAACAUGGCCUGAUGAGCUGUGCCAUGUCCGUGCCCAGGAUCCCAACCUGCAAGACCCUGGGCCGCUGAAGCGGAGCACACAAACUUAAUCACUCGGCCACUGGCCCGGCCCCUGUUCCGGGAAAGCCAUGCGAGGACAUAGCAAGAAGGCAACUGUCUGCAAGCCAGAAAGAGAGGCUUCACCAAAAACUAACCCUGCUGGCACCUUGAUCUUGCACUUCCAGCCUCCAGAACUGAACAAGAAGACUACACAGUCACCCUGGUGAAACUGAGCUAUGACAGACGAGCUGAAGACCGACUAUACGUUCAAGUUCAUCAGAGGAAAAAGCAUCACUUGAAUUUCACUGGCAGGGACCGUCCCUGCUUGUGCUAACCUCCUACAUAUCCUGGUCCAGGCUUCCCACCUUCAGAAGAUGUUUGCCCCAGGGGCAUGGCAGUUUCUUAUUCCUAUCUCAUGAACUUUUAACCUUAAGAACAACUUGGUAGCUAUUUUAUAUUGACUCAUUAUUUGCUCUCUGGGCGCCAAAUGAUACUUAUUGUAACAAGGGAGGCUGGGAGUGAGCCAGUUUUUGAGUAACAUGAGAAGUUACAACUUUAAAGAGAAUAAUUCUGUCACUAACCUGUCCUCUGAAAGGAAAAAAGCUUAGGCAAAUUAGCCACUGUUUUCCACUCGACAAAAAAAAAAAGGACUUGCUCAAUUCUUACCUCAAAAAUUUAAAG